This is a long non-coding RNA of Vidua macroura (Pin-tailed whydah), 1714 nucleotides long. RefSeq lists it as uncharacterized. Lineage: Eukaryota; Metazoa; Chordata; Aves; Passeriformes; Viduidae. The record is from RefSeq and is a predicted model, not a curated record. The transcript has 2 exons.
CCAAACACCCAACUUGGUCGGUUAGAGACCAAGAAUUCUGGGUGACACAGAGAAUUCUGGGUGAGAAUUCUGGGUUAACACAGAAUCUGCCAGAGACCAUCCUGCUCUCUGCAAAGCACGGCACGGACAGCUCUGACUGCAGCCUCCCUAAUCACCACACACAACUGCUUUCCCACAGAACUCCUUUAAAAUCCAAAACGACCUUCUUUAUUUCUGACAGAAAAAGGCAAAAAGCAGAGCACGUAAGAGCUGUACCACUCCGACCACACUGGGGAGUAAAGCGAUACCAGCUAAGAAAUAUCAGCUGAUCUCCUGCAGCACAGCCACCGCCACGUUCUGCACUUCUCAAAGUUCGCUCAGCUUUUCAUCUAACCUAGAGAGGUAAGAAAAUCUGCUCUGCCAUCAGAGGCUCACAUACUCUAGAAAUAACAGCAGUUUGCAUCAUGAAUUAUCUAACACUAUUUACCACUCGAGGAAAAGAAAAUCUAUCCUGUUUGGUGCUGUGCCAUUUGGCCACCAGACUCCAGAAUUUUAAUGUCUGUUAUCUCUGCAAUGGAGAUAACACAACGCUGGUCUCAGAUAUCUGCCUCGAAGGUGGUUUCCUUACCUCAACACAAGACAUCUUGUGUUAUAUAAGUCUCUGGUCACAUGCAUGACAUGUUUUCCAAGGGAAAAAAAGGCCCACAAAAAAACUAGGAAACUCACUACUGAAAACAAAGAAGGUUGAUGGAACUUACCACCAACACCUAUAUGAAUGCCAUAGCACUUUUUCUUAUAAAAUUCACAAAACUGCAAAAUGGCCACCAAAAAAAAGUCCCCUAACAGGAAACACUGACACCUUUUCAAACAAGUCUGACAGUUCAAUAAGGAGAACACAAUCCUAUGACCCACAGAACCAGGCAAAAUACAAGUAUGAACAGGAGAACACCGAGUAAGAUUGUUGAUUCAAGUGAUGCUAUGUGUUAUGUGUGACAGAUUAAAAUGAAAAAUCCAAUUUGCUUCACAUGGCUAAUACUAUAUUCUGAAGGCCAAAUCACUCAAAAAGGUAGAAGCUAGCAAUUAGUGAAUGUCAAUUUGUGUUCCCCUCCCAAAAAAGGAGGCUUGAUAAAAGUUUGAAGAAAAUAAUAGAAAGAACACCUGUAUUACUGCAACCAUUUCAUCCAAAGAGAAUCCAAACACGUUCAUCAGCUAAGCUUCAUCUUUGUCAGGACAAGAAAACCUUGUAACCAGAGCUGAAUGAAGCCAUACAAUAACUUAACAAGUGAUGAACACAACCUCCCAACACUUUCAAGACAGUCUUUACCCAUCAUUCCUGCUGAUGUCUCUUCCUAUGCUUGUGUUCUGCACAGAGCAGAAAACAGACAACAAUGAACACCAGGCAACUCCAAAUUUUGCUGAAGUUUUAACACUGUUCUAUUUCAAAAGGCUCACACAGUCAGUUACUGUACUGUCCUUGAUAAAGACCCAAACCAUUUAAGCAGAACUCCCCCCAUCCUACUCUCUGAAGAGUACUUGCAGCAUAACUUUGAUUAGCCAAAGCUCCCAGGGGACAAAUGGAAGCAGAGGUAAGUGGGGGCGCAGCCAGAGGUCUUCUGAGAAUAAUAGAAGUGAAAGGAGAGGAAACGAACUCCACAAAGAACUGUUGGCUCAGCUCAGCCCUAAAGUUUCCCUAUUCCUCAAUGGAGCAUUCAUGAAAUAAAAUAAGCUUCUUUAA